Molecule: ribosomal RNA, 498 nt
Filed under: uncultured bacterium
Lineage: Bacteria
Description: bacterial SSU rRNA
Rfam family: Bacterial small subunit ribosomal RNA
Source: RNAcentral
UUGCAGGCCUAACACAUGCAAGUUGAGCGGAUGAAGAGAGCUUGCUCUCUGAUUCAGCGGCGGACGGGUGAGUAAUGCCUAGGAAUCUGCCUGGUAGUGGGGGACAACGUCUCGAAAGGGACGCUAAUACCGCAUACUGUCCUACGGGAGAAAGCAGGGGACCUUCGGGCCUUGCGCUAUCAGAUGAGCCUAGGUCGGAUUAGCUAGUUGGUGGGGUAAUGGCUCACCAAGGCGACGAUCCGUAUACUGUGUCUGUAGAGGAUGUAUCUAGUCACACUGGAACUGAGACACGGUCCAGACUCCUACGGGGAGGCAGCAGUGGGGGAAUAUUGGACAAUGGGCGAAAGCCUGGAUCCAGCCAUGCCGCGUGUGUGAAGAAGGUCUUCGGAUUGUAAAGCACUUUAAGUUGGGAGGAAGGGCAGUAAAUUAAUACUUUGCUGUUUUGACGUUACCGACAGAAUAAGCACCGGCUAACUCUGUGCCAGCAGCCGCGGUAAU